This 72-nucleotide transfer RNA is filed under the name Dipodomys ordii (Ord's kangaroo rat). It matches the Rfam family "tRNA". Rfam says of the family: Transfer RNA (tRNA) molecules are approximately 80 nucleotides in length. Their secondary structure includes four short double-helical elements and three loops (D, anti-codon, and T loops). Lineage: Eukaryota; Metazoa; Chordata; Mammalia; Rodentia; Heteromyidae. The record is from Rfam by way of RNAcentral.
GAAGGUGUGGCUCAGUGGUUGAGUCCCUGCUUAGCAAGCAUGAGGUCUGGAGUUCAAACUCUGGUACUGUCA